AUACGUAGGUGGCUAGCGUUAUCCGGAAUUACUGGGUGUAAAGGGCGCGCAGGCGGGAAACAAGUUGGGAGUGAAAUCCGGGGGCUCAACCCCCGAACUGCUUUCAAAACUGUUUUCUUGAGUGAUGGAGAGGCAGGCGGAAUUCCCAGUGUAGCGGUGAAAUGCGUAGAUAUUGGGAGGAACACCAGUGGCGAAGGCGGCCUGCUGGACAUUAACUGACGCUGAGGCGCGAAAGCGUGGGGAGC
This 245-nucleotide ribosomal RNA is filed under the name uncultured bacterium. Its description in RNAcentral is "partial 16S ribosomal RNA". It matches the Rfam family "Bacterial small subunit ribosomal RNA", at positions 523 to 769 of the family's 1533-position model. The record is from RNAcentral.